Molecule: ribosomal RNA, 798 nt
Filed under: uncultured bacterium
Lineage: Bacteria
Description: bacterial SSU rRNA
Rfam family: Bacterial small subunit ribosomal RNA
Source: RNAcentral
AGGGUUUGAUCCUGGCUCAGAAUGAACGUUGGCGGCGUGGAUUAGGCAUGCAAGUCGAGCGAGAAUCUCUUGAUUGAUCCUUCGGGUGAUUUCAUGAGAGGACAGCGGCAAACGGCGUAGUAAUGCGUAGGUUACGUACCCUCAGGACGGGGAUAGCCACGGGAAACUGUGGGUAAUACCCGAUAAUCUCUGCGGAGCAAAGGUGUGAUUCCGCCUGAGGAGCGGCUUACGUGAUAUUAGCUAGAUGGUGGGGUAAUGGCCUACCAUGGCGACGAUGUCUCGGGGGUGUGGGAGCAUGGCCCCCACGACCGGAACUGAGAUACUGUCCGGACACCUACGGGUGGCUGCAGUCGAGAAUCUUCCGCAAUGGGCGAAAGCCUGACGGAGCGACGCCGCGUGCGGGAUGAAGGCCCUUGGGUUGUAAACCGCUGUCAGAGGGGAUGAAAUCACGGUUGGUUAUCCUUCCGUGUUGACAGAGCCUCAAAGGAAGCACGGGCUAAGUACGUGCCAGCAGCCGCGGUAACACGUACUGUGCGAACGUUAUUCGGAAUCACUGGGCUUAAAGGGUGCGUAGGCGGUUUAUCAAGUCAGAUGUGAAAUGCCUGAGCUCAACUGAGGCACUGCGUUUGAAACUGAUAGACUUGAGUAUUCCAGGGGUAUGCGGAACUGCCAGUGGAGCGGUGAAAUGCGUUGAUAUUGGCAGGAACACCAGUGGCGAAGGCGGCAUACUGGGGGAUUACUGACGCUGAGGCACGAAAGCCAGGGUAGCGAACGGGAUUAGAUACCCCGGUAGUCCUG